This 464-nucleotide ribosomal RNA is filed under the name uncultured bacterium. RNAcentral describes it as "partial 16S ribosomal RNA". It matches the Rfam family "Bacterial small subunit ribosomal RNA", at positions 28 to 507 of the family's 1533-position model. The record is from RNAcentral.
GACGAACGCUGGCGGCGUGCUUAACACAUGCAAGUCGAACGGAAAGGCCCCUUCGGGGGUACUCGAGUGGCGAACGGGUGAGUAACACGUGAGUAACCUGCCCUUGACUUCGGGAUAACUUCAGGAAACUGGGGCUAAUACCGGAUAGGAAUCCUUGCUGCAUGGUGGGGGUUGGAAAGCUUCGGCGGUUUUGGAUGGACUCGCGGCUUAUCAGCUUGUUGGUGGGGUAGUGGCUUACCAAGGCUUUGACGGGUAGCCGGCCUGAGAGGGCGACCGGCCACAUUGGGACUGAGAUACGGCCAGACGCCUACGGGAGGCAGCAGUGGGGAAUAUUGCACAAUGGGCGGAAGCCUGAUGCAGCAACGCCGCGUGCGGGAUGACGGCCUUCGGGUUGUAAACCGCUUUCAGCAGGGGCGAAGCUUGUGGUGACGGUACCUGCAGAAGAAGCACCGGCUAACUACGUG